Molecule: long non-coding RNA, 625 nt
Filed under: Serinus canaria (Common canary)
Lineage: Eukaryota; Metazoa; Chordata; Aves; Passeriformes; Fringillidae
Description: lncRNA (ENSSCAG00000016478.1)
Source: RNAcentral
UUCCGUCUCCCGGUGCCGUCUGCAGGGCGGGCGAGAGGCGGCCGCUGCGCCGGGCAGAGCGGGCGGGGGACAGCGGUGACGGAAAGCGGCAGCUGGGGGGGGGACGGCAGCGCUGGGUUGACUCCCUCCCCCCCUUCCCCCUCCCGGCCGGAGGAAGAUGGAGCUCGGUUAGCGAGGGCUUGCGGGAGGAGCAGCGGGAGCAGAUAAGACAGUGAAGUCUUUAACUGCUCCAGAAGAAGAGGGUCUGGAAAGAAAAUGUCUCUGGCAAAAAAGUAUCAGGCACAUGAUACUGCAGAGAUUCCAAAUCAGAAGUAAAUCAGCCAGACAGUUGCCUCCUGCCUUCCUAAACAGGCAAACAUAUUAGCAACAGAAGAAAGGGGCCUACCUACCUCAUUCCUGGAGAAGGUGGGUUUGCUGCUGUGGAUGCCUGCCUCGUUUCCUUCACCAAAAUGAGUUAGAGCAGGAGAGAAGGGAGACUUUUGCAAGCAGAGCCUAUCAUGAUUUCUCAGGGGACAAAAUUUUGCUUAUUCAUACCUUCUACUGUGGCAAAAAUGGAUUCUUUUCCUCACCAAAAACCAGCAGCAUAACACCCAUCCAACACCUGCCUCAAGGAACUCUUAUUUAA